This is a long non-coding RNA of Procambarus clarkii (red swamp crayfish), 220 nucleotides long. RefSeq lists it as uncharacterized. The record is from RefSeq and is a predicted model, not a curated record. NCBI's taxonomy places the organism in Eukaryota, Metazoa, Arthropoda, Malacostraca, Decapoda, Cambaridae.
CCGCCCCGCGAGGAGGUCAUCGUCGGAAUGAAACUUCACAUAAACGUUAUAAUCCAUACCUCAAUCGACGGAGGGAACAGAUCGACGUCAUCGAGCCUAUACCCCAUUCCUCACACACUGAGCUAAGGAGAGCACAUCUCACUCGCCAGGAGUCACAGCCCCUUCAUCAAGACGACACACCGCUGUGCAUAGAUUUGGCAUCCAGCGACAGCUGCAGCAG